UCUGGUUGAUCCUGCCAGUAGUGAUAUGCUUGUUUCAAAGAUUAAGCCACGCAUGUCUAAGUAUAAGCGAACUUAUACAGUGAAACUGCGGAUGGCUCAUUAAAACAGUUUGAAUUUAUUUGAUGAAUGUAUGAGAAUACUACUUGGAUAACCGUAGUAAUUCUAGAGCUAAUACAUGCAACGACGCCCGACCGUUUCACUACGGAAGGGCUGUAUUUAUUGGAUACCAAAACCAUCCUUCCCUCGGGAAGUUUUGUUUGAUGAUUCACAAUAACUGAUCGGAUCGCCACUGUGGUGGCGACAGGUCAUUCAACAUUCUGCCCUAUCAGCUUUCGAUGGUUGUGUAGUGGACAACCAUGGCCAUAACGGGUAACGGAGAAUCAGGGUUCGAUUCCGGAGAAGGAGCUUGAGAAUUGGCUACUACAUCUAAGGAAGGCAGCAGGCGCGCAAAUUACCCAAUCCCGAUUCGGGGAGGUAGUGACAAAAAAUAACAAUACCGGGCCUUUUUGGGCUUGGUAAUUGGAAUGAGGGAGAGUUAAACUGACCAUCGAGUAUCCAUUGGAGGGCAAGUCUGGUGCCAGCAGCUGCGGUAAUACCAGCUCCAAUAGCGUAUAUUAAAGUUGUUGCAGUUAAAAAGCUCGUAGUUGGACUUGUGUGCGCUGUCCGCGGGUGGCCUGCGCCCAAAAGGGCGUUUCGGUUCGGCCCCGGUGGCGCCUUGAAAUCUGCAGCUGGGGGGACGUUGGCCUUAACUGGUCGGCGACCGCACGCCGGCUGCUCGGUUACUGUGAGAAAAUUAGAGUGUUCAAGGCAGGCAUUGGGUGCAAUUGAAUACAUUAGCAUGGAAUAAUAAAAUAUGGCUCCUGCCGUAUUUUGUUGGUUUUGACUGGUGGGAGUAAUGAUUGAUAGGGACGGUUGGGGGUGCUAGUAUUGAGCGGCCAGAGGUGAAAUUCAUGGAUUCGCUCAAGACUAACUUAUGCGAAAGCAUUCACCAAGGACGUCCUCUUUAAUCAAAAACGAAAGUUGGGGGAUCGAAGACGAUCAGAUACCGUCGUAGUCUCAACCAUAAACUAUGUCGACUUGGGAUCGGCGGUAGUUUUUUCAUUAAGACACUGUCGGGACCACGGGAGAAAUCAAAGUGUCUGGGCUCUGGGGGAAGUAUGGUCGCAAGGCUGAAACUUGAAGGAAUUGACGGAAGGGCACCACCAGGAGUGGAGCCUGCGGCUUAAUUUGACCCAACACGGGGAAACUUACCAGGUCCAGAGAUGUAGAGGAUUGAC
This 1277-nucleotide ribosomal RNA is filed under the name metagenome. RNAcentral describes it as "SSU rRNA". It matches the Rfam family "Eukaryotic small subunit ribosomal RNA", at positions 1 to 1244 of the family's 1831-position model. The record is from RNAcentral.